RNAcentral lists this ribosomal RNA (461 nucleotides) under Streptococcus mitis. RNAcentral's name for it is "bacterial SSU rRNA". It matches the Rfam family "Bacterial small subunit ribosomal RNA", at positions 28 to 474 of the family's 1533-position model. The record is from RNAcentral. Lineage: Bacteria; Bacillati; Bacillota; Bacilli; Lactobacillales; Streptococcaceae.
GACGAACGCUGGCGGCGUGCCUAAUACAUGCAAGUAGAACGCUGAAGGAGGAGCUUGCUUCUCUGGAUGAGUUGCGAACGGGUGAGUAACGCGUAGGUAACCUGCCUGGUAGCGGGGGAUAACUAUUGGAAACGAUAGCUAAUACCGCAUAAGAGUAGAUGUUGCAUGACAUUUGCUUAAAAGGUGCAAUUGCAUCACUACCAGAUGGACCUGCGUUGUAUUAGCUAGUUGGUGAGGUAACGGCUCACCAAGGCAACGAUACAUAGCCGACCUGAGAGGGUGAUCGGCCACACUGGGACUGAGACACGGCCCAGACUCCUACGGGAGGCAGCAGUAGGGAAUCUUCGGCAAUGGACGGAAGUCUGACCGAGCAACGCCGCGUGAGUGAAGAAGGUUUUCGGAUCGUAAAGCUCUGUUGUAAGAGAAGAACGAGUGUGAGAGUGGAAAGUUCACACUGGACG